This is a long non-coding RNA of Austrofundulus limnaeus, 778 nucleotides long. RefSeq lists it as uncharacterized. NCBI's taxonomy places the organism in Eukaryota, Metazoa, Chordata, Actinopteri, Cyprinodontiformes, Rivulidae. The transcript is spliced from 3 exons. The record is from RefSeq and is a predicted model, not a curated record.
CUGACUUUCAAAGUGGAGGUGCGUUCAGGUACACUCGGAAAUUAGACUUUACAAAUGGCGUGCAAUGGAAUGCAUAAACAAACAUCUGCUUUUGUUUACAGCUAUGAAACUGUGAGCAGAACUUUGUUGAAGAAGCUGAAGGUUGGUGACAGUGGGAAGGAAUGACUCCACUUUAACAAGAAGAAACUUCCAAAAGAACCAGAACCAGGAUGAGCAGCUCAUCUGCCUCGACACAAACAAACAGCAAGUGGUCCAGGUGUGGUUCUACUGGAGGAAAAACACAGGUUAACCUAAUCCUGAUGCACUGUUCUCUCAAAGAGGUGGARGAUUGCAGAGGAGCCUCAUGAUUAAACUCCAAGUUGCUGUACGUCAUCCUAAGCCCCUGUAAGCAGCCUGAUCCAAUUUACAGAAAUCCCCCCACACAAGAUGAGCCUGAUUGUAAGCCGCUGCCAGGGACCAUAAUUGGUUUGAGGGUUCACGUGGUUGCUGCCACCUCCGUGAAAACGCACCAGGAGAUGAAAGUUCGCAAAGAUCACGGACAUGGCAGCGGAGCUAAACGUGAGGCGUACCCAUUCACAGGUGCGGGGUCCGCGGCGCGAACCGGAUCUCUUCACAGAGAAGCAAAUAGGCUGAAUCAGUGAAGCUCAAUCAUUGACAAAAAUGCUGUCAGGUCGAUACAUCGACYGCUGCACGUUCAGUCAGUGACAAAUAAAUCAUUCUUUCCCAAGUGACCCCACACCAGAAUGGAAAUAGAUUCAAGAUUAAACUUUAAAAAUUA